This 368-nucleotide ribosomal RNA is filed under the name uncultured organism. RNAcentral describes it as "bacterial SSU rRNA". It matches the Rfam family "Bacterial small subunit ribosomal RNA", at positions 526 to 896 of the family's 1533-position model. The record is from RNAcentral.
CGUAGGUGGCAAGCGUUGUCCGGAUUUAUUGGGUUUAAAGGGUGCGUAGGCGGCUUAAUAAGUCAGUGGUGAAAGCCGAUCGCUUAACGAUCGAACUGCCAUUGAUACUGCUAGGCUUGAGUAUAGUUGAGGUAGGCGGAAUUGACAGUGUAGCGGUGAAAUGCAUAGAUAUUGUCAAGAACACCAAUUGCGAAGGCAGCUUACUAAAGUAUAACUGACGCUGAGGCACGAAAGUGCGGGGAUCAAACAGGAUUAGAUACCCUGGUAGUCCGCACCGUAAACGAUGAUCACUCGCUGUGUGCGAUAAACAGUACGCGGCCAAGCGAAAGCGAUAAGUGAUCCACCUGGGGAGUACGCCCGCAAGGGUG